AUUGAACGCUGGCGGCAGGCCUAACACAUGCAAGUCGAGCGGUAGNGAGGUGCUUGCAUCUCUUGAGAGCGGCGGACGGGUGAGUAAUGCCUAGGAAUCUGCCUGGUAGUGGGGGACAACGUUUCGAAAGGAACGCUAAUACCGCAUACGUCCUACGGGAGAAAGCAGGGGACCUUCGGGCCUUGCGCUAUCAGAUGAGCCUAGGUCGGAUUAGCUAGUAGGUGAGGUAAUGGCUCACCUAGGCGACGAUCCGUAACUGGUCUGAGAGGAUGAUCAGUCACACUGGAACUGAGACACGGUCCAGACUCCUACGGGAGGCAGCAGUGAGGAAUAUUGGACAAUGGGCGCAAGCCUGAUCCAGCAAUGCCGCGUGCAGGAUGAAGGCCUUCGGGUUGUAAACUGCUUUUGUACGGAACGAAACGGUGAGCUCUAAUACAGUUUGCUAAUGACGGUACCGUAAGAAUAAGCACCGGCUAACUACGUG
RNAcentral lists this ribosomal RNA (484 nucleotides) under uncultured bacterium. Its description in RNAcentral is "bacterial SSU rRNA". It matches the Rfam family "Bacterial small subunit ribosomal RNA", at positions 30 to 507 of the family's 1533-position model. The record is from RNAcentral.